UACGGGGGGGGCAAGCGUUGUUCGGAAUUACUGGGCGUAAAGCGUGCGCAGGCGGUUUUGUAAGCCAGAUGUGAAAUCCCCGGGCUUAACCUGGGAAUGGCAUUUGGGACUGCAAGGCUCGAGUGCGGCAGAGGAGACUGGAAUUCCUGGUGUAGCGGUGAAAUGCGUAGAUAUCAGGAGGAACACCGAUGGCGAAGGCAGGUCUCUGGGCUGACACUGACGCUCAUGCACGAAAGCGUGGGGAGCAAACAGG
RNAcentral lists this ribosomal RNA (253 nucleotides) under uncultured bacterium. RNAcentral's name for it is "partial 16S ribosomal RNA". It matches the Rfam family "Bacterial small subunit ribosomal RNA", at positions 524 to 776 of the family's 1533-position model. The record is from RNAcentral.